GGUGCGUAACGCGUAUGCAAUCUACCUUUUACAGAGGGAUAGCCCAGAGAAAUUUGGAUUAAUACCUCAUAGUAUAGUGAGUUGGCAUCAACACACUAUUAAAGUCACAACGGUAAAAGAUGAGCAUGCGUCCCAUUAGCUAGUUGGUAAGGUAACGGCUUACCAAGGCAACGAUGGGUAGGGGUCCUGAGAGGGAGAUCCCCCACACUGGUACUGAGACACGGACCAGACUCCUACGGGAGGCAGCAGUGAGGAAUAUUGGUCAAUGGGCGCAAGCCUGAACCAGCCAUGCCGCGUGCAGGAUGACGGUCCUAUGGAUUGUAAACUGCUUUUGCACAGGAAGAAACACUCGGUCGUGACCGAGCUUGACGGUACUGUGAGAAUAAGGAUCGGCUAACUCCGUGCCAGCAGCCGCGGUAAUACGGAGGAUCCAAGCGUUAUCCGGAAUCAUUGGGUUUAAAGGGUCCGUAGGCGGCCAGAUAAGUCAGUGGUGAAAGCCCAUCGCUCAACGAUGGAACGGCCAUUGAUACUGUUUGGCUUGAAUUAUUUGGAAGUAACUAGAAUAUGUAGUGUAGCGGUGAAAUGCUUAGAGAUUACAUGGAAUACCAAUUGCGAAGGCAGGUUACUACAAAUUGAUUGACGCUGAUGGACGAAAGCGUGGGUAGCGAACAGGAUUAGAUACCCUGGUAGUCCACGCCGUAAACGAUGGAUACUAGCUGUUGGGAGCAAUCUCAGUGGCUAAGCGAAAGUGAUAAGUAUCCCACCUGGGGGAGUACGUUCGCAAGAAUGAAACUCAAAGGAAUUGACGGGGGCCCGCACAAGCGGUGGAGCAUGUGGUUUAAUUCGAUGAUACGCGAGGAACCUUACCAAGGCUUAAAUGUAGAUUGACCGGUUUGGAAACAGACUUUUCGCAAGACAAUUUACAAGGUGCUGCAUGGUUGUCGUCAGCUCGUGCCGUGAGGUGUCAGGUUAAGUCCUAUAACGAGCGCAACCCCUGUUGUUAGUUGCCAGCGAGUCAUGUCGGGAACUCUAGCAAGACUGCCAGUGUAAACUGUGAGGAAGGUGGGGAUGACGUCAAAUCAUCACGGCCCUUACGCCUUGGGCUACACACGUGCUACAAUGGCCGGUACAGAGAGCAGCCACUACGCAAGUAGGAGCGAAUC
This 1163-nucleotide ribosomal RNA is filed under the name Flavobacterium psychrophilum. RNAcentral's name for it is "bacterial SSU rRNA". It matches the Rfam family "Bacterial small subunit ribosomal RNA", at positions 105 to 1273 of the family's 1533-position model. Lineage: Bacteria; Pseudomonadati; Bacteroidota; Flavobacteriia; Flavobacteriales; Flavobacteriaceae. The record is from RNAcentral.